RNAcentral lists this ribosomal RNA (2735 nucleotides) under Acinetobacter baumannii. RNAcentral's name for it is "partial 23S ribosomal RNA". It matches the Rfam family "Bacterial large subunit ribosomal RNA". Lineage: Bacteria; Pseudomonadati; Pseudomonadota; Gammaproteobacteria; Moraxellales; Moraxellaceae. The record is from RNAcentral.
GGCGAACGAGGGGAAGUGAAACAUCUCAGUACCCUUAGGAAAAGAAAUCAAUUGAGAUUCCCUCAGUAGCGGCGAGCGAACGGGGAUCAGCCCAUUAAGUUAUGUGUGUUUUAGUGGAACGCUCUGGGAAGUGCGAACGUAGAGGGUGAUAUUCCCGUACACGAAAGGGCACACAUAAUGAUGACGAGUAGGGCGAGGCACGUGAAACCUUGUCUGAAUAUGGGGGGACCAUCCUCCAAGGCUAAAUACUCCUGACUGACCGAUAGUGAACCAGUACCGUGAGGGAAAGGCGAAAAGAACCCCUGUGAGGGGAGUGAAAUAGAUCCUGAAACCGCAUGCAUACAAGCAGUGGGAGCACCUUCGUGGUGUGACUGCGUACCUUUUGUAUAAUGGGUCAGCGACUUAUAUUCAGUAGCGAGGUUAACCGUAUAGGGGAGCCGUAGAGAAAUCGAGUCUUAAUAGGGCGUUUAGUUGCUGGGUAUAGACCCGAAACCAGGCGAUCUAUCCAUGAGCAGGUUGAAGGUUGGGUAACACUAACUGGAGGACCGAACCCACUGUCGUUGAAAAGCCAGGGGAUGACUUGUGGAUAGGGGUGAAAGGCUAAUCAAGCCUGGUGAUAGCUGGUUCUCCCCGAAAGCUAUUUAGGUAGCGCCUCGGACGAAUACCAUAGGGGGUAGAGCACUGUUUCGGCUAGGGGGUCAUCCCGACUUACCAAACCGAUGCAAACUCCGAAUACCUAUGAGUACUAUCCGGGAGACAGACUGCGGGUGCUAACGUCCGUAGUCAAGAGGAAAACAAUCCAGACCGCCAGCUAAGGCCCCAAAAUCAUAGUUAAGUGGGAAACGAUGUGGGAAGGCAUAGACAGCUAGGAGGUUGGCUUAGAAGCAGCCACCCUUUAAAGAAAGCGUAAUAGCUCACUAGUCGAGUCGGCCUGCGCGGAAGAUGUAACGGGGCUAAAACUAUGUGCCGAAGCUGCGGAUGUAUACUUUGUAUACGUGGUAGGGGAGCGUUCUGUAAGCCGAUGAAGGUGUGUUGAGAAGCAUGCUGGAGGUAUCAGAAGUGCGAAUGCUGACGUGAGUAACGACAAAACGGGUGAAAAACCCGUUCGCCGAAAGACCAAGGGUUCCAGUCCAACGUUAAUCGGGGCUGGGUGAGUCGACCCCUAAGGCGAGGCCGAAAGGCGUAGUCGAUGGGAAAAUGGUUAAUAUUCCAUUACUUCUGUGUAAUGCGAUGAGAGGACGGAGAAGGCUAAAUCAGCCUGGCGUUGGUUGUCCAGGUGAAAGGAUGUAGGCAUGUAUCUUAGGCAAAUCCGGGGUACUCUAUGCUGAGAUCUGAUAGCAAGCUGUACUUGUACAGCGAAGUGGUUGAUGCCAUGCUUCCAGGAAAAGUCUCUAAGCUUCAGUUACACAGGAAUCGUACCCGAAACCGACACAGGUGGUCAGGUCGAGUAGACCAAGGCGCUUGAGAGAACUCUGCUGAAGGAACUAGGCAAAAUGGUACCGUAACUUCGGGAGAAGGUACGCUGUUGUUGGUGAUGGAACUCGCUUCCUGAGCUGACGACAGCCGCAGAAACCAGGCCGCUGCAACUGUUUAUUAAAAACAUAGCACUCUGCAAACACGAAAGUGGACGUAUAGGGUGUGAUGCCUGCCCGGUGCUGGAAGGUUAAUUGAUGGGGUUAGCGUAAGCGAAGCUCUUGAUCGAAGCCCCAGUAAACGGCGGCCGUAACUAUAACGGUCCUAAGGUAGCGAAAUUCCUUGUCGGGUAAGUUCCGACCUGCACGAAUGGCAUAAUGAUGGCGGCGCUGUCUCCAGCAGAGGCUCAGUGAAAUCGAAAUCGCUGUGAAGAUGCAGUGUACCCGCGGCUAGACGGAAAGACCCCGUGAACCUUUACUGCAGCUUGACACUGAACUUUGACCUUACUUGUGUAGGAUAGGUGGGAGGCUUUGAAGCUGGAACGCUAGUUCCAGUGGAGCCGUCCUUGAAAUACCACCCUGGUAAUGUUGAGGUUCUAACUCUGUCCCGUGAUCCGGGACGAGGACCGUGUCUGGUGGGUAGUUUGACUGGGGCGGUCUCCUCCUAAAGAGUAACGGAGGAGUACGAAGGUGCGCUCAGCGUGGUCGGAAAUCACGCGUAGAGUAUAAAGGCAAAAGCGCGCUUAACUGCGAGACCCACAAGUCGAGCAGGUACGAAAGUAGGUCUUAGUGAUCCGGUGGUUCUGUAUGGAAGGGCCAUCGCUCAACGGAUAAAAGGUACUCUGGGGAUAACAGGCUGAUACCGCCCAAGAGUUCAUAUCGACGGCGGUGUUUGGCACCUCGAUGUCGGCUCAUCUCAUCCUGGGGCUGAAGCAGGUCCCAAGGGUAUGGCUGUUCGCCAUUUAAAGAGGUACGCGAGCUGGGUUUAGAACGUCGUGAGACAGUUCGGUCCCUAUCUACCGUGGGCGCUGGAAAUUUGAGAGGAUCUGCUCCUAGUACGAGAGGACCAGAGUGGACGAACCUCUGGUGUACCGGUUGUGACGCCAGUCGCAUCGCCGGGUAGCUAUGUUCGGAAGGGAUAACCGCUGAAAGCAUCUAAGCGGGAAGCCUACCUCAAGAUAAGAUUUCCCUAGGACUUUAUGUCCUCUAAAGAGCCGUUCGAGACUAGGACGUUGAUAGGUUGGAUGUGGAAGCAUAGUGAUAUGUGAAGCUGACCAAUACUAAUUGCUCGUGAGGCUUGACUAUACAACACCCAAGCAGUUG